AAAAGAGGUAGAGGUCGCGGUUUUUAUUACGCUUGUGGAGUGAGAGGACACUGGGAAGCAAGUUUAGGAUCAAUCGCCGAAAUGCAUAACGGAGCCUCUUCUGUUGUGUGUUGGGACGUAAGUUAAGAGCUUGCGGACUGUCUUAGUAGUGAUGCUAAGUUGUGCUAUGUUUCGU
This is a non-coding RNA of Sphingobacterium faecium PCAi_F2.5, 175 nucleotides long. The record is from Rfam. Lineage: Bacteria; Pseudomonadati; Bacteroidota; Sphingobacteriia; Sphingobacteriales; Sphingobacteriaceae.